Long non-coding RNA from Gasterosteus aculeatus aculeatus (three-spined stickleback), 1814 nucleotides. NCBI's taxonomy places the organism in Eukaryota, Metazoa, Chordata, Actinopteri, Perciformes, Gasterosteidae. The record is from Ensembl.
UGCGUUCGAUGGUUCUAUAUUUACGUGCGGAGGUUCCAUCAUUUCAGCAGAGAUUUCGCUUAAAUUAAAAGCCUAAAAAGCUCUUAAAAUGUGGUACUGAGUACUUCUACCACCGCUGUUUACUACUAAACACACAAGAAAAGAAAGGUGGCGUUUCUUGAAACUUUCACUAAGAAAGUCUUGAUUGAGUUCAAUCAUUGUAACUUAUAGAACAGAAUCAAGGUGAUUGUUGCGUCUCACCGUCUUUGCCAAAUUCAAAAUGGAUGUUGACAAAUUGGAAAAUGUCAUCAUUUCUGAGUACAGGAAGCUGCAAGCUGCUUAGAAAGCGUCGUAUACUUGGAAAGGGUAGAAAUGAAAACACGUUGACCUUCAGCGCUCGUUCAUCUGGGGACGUUUUACUCGGCACCAAGAACUACGUGAAAGAGUCGCUUUUAUUUCUUCACUUUUCCAGCCAAAUAUAAAAAUGAUGACCACGCGUUUGGAAAACAAAACUCAUGGGACCAGAGCGGUUUGAGACUCGUGGAUGCGUAUUUGUCCAUCCGUUGUAAUCCACGCAACCCAAAUGAAACAUCAACUUAAACACAACACUCGCUCUUCUCGUCGCCACUCGCUCCGUCUAAAGGUUCCCGUCGUGUGGCCCCGGGAUGAACGCGGGCUUCACGGGAGUCGCUGGUUAAACUGUCGCGCCUGCGGGCCGGUUGGUGUCCUGUGGUGUCCACAGAGCAGGUGAGGCAGGUGCCAGAAGCUCUGCACGUCCUCUUCGGGGAUCCUUUCCUCCGAGUGGCGCCCAGCGACCAUCCGGGCGGAGCUUCCACAUGAAUCUGUAGAAGGAAAACGCCGGCGAGCCUCCGUCCAGGCUCGCAUCCCUGCCGGGGGUUUUGUGGUGCAGAAAUGUUCUCUCAAGUAUAGCUGCUAAUUAUUCUACGUCUGCCAGUGAUUCAAACCACCUUUUGACAGCGUGCCGUACGUUAGCAAAAUCUAAUUGCAUUGGCACAUUUUAUUAUCUUUGCGACGAGCGCGGCACGGGGGCGUUCACACAGGAGGGCGGUUAGCCACCGCAGCUCGCUAAAUGCUAAUUUGUUCGGGGACCAGAAGCGGCUUCUGCUCAGUCCUCGUUGGAUGUGCCCACGCGGACACAUUGCUCGACCCCCGGCGGCUGCGUGCAUGAAGCCCCGCCCCCCAUCGCCGCCCCGCACGCCUGCUGCAGAAAGGCUCCCGCGCAACGAAGCAGAAACUCUAAUAAGGUCUUUACAAGGCGGAGAUUUCAUUUUCUCUCUGUCCCUCACGCCCGCAUGCGCCAUUUCAUUCAAAUCCCACCCAGGUUGAGCGGUCAAGGGGGCAGCGAGGGGAGGGGGGGGGGGACAUGUAAUGAAUAAUGGGACAUCUAUUAACUGUCACAGCGGGACGUCCACUUUCCUUUUUCUCCUCCUCGCUGGCCUUUCUCCGGGGUCGCUCAGAUCCUCGGAGCCCCCUCUGAUCAGGUGAUCAUGCAAACGUUGCUUGGUGGGACAAGCUGUGUGAGUUAGAUCUGGCCGAAGCUGAAGAUCACAGUAUGAAAGUCAAAAGACACGAUGAUGAACUUCACUAGUUUUGUGUUAGAAUCACCAAACACAAUGUUGGGGCAGCGUGAAGCCGAACUCUGAAAUAAAAGAAGGUACAGAAUCCUUUUAAUACGAACUAACCCCAAGUCUCGAUGCCGGGUAAAUAAAAAGCAAAGACGGGAUCCUCUGAGCGUGAUUUAUGUCUUGAUGUUGUCGAGAUGCUCCUCCCGGCCAACGUUUGCCAGCCACACGGAGAGGGAGGAGGACUGCAGC